AGAGGAUCCAAAUCACAGUCGUCAAGGCAUUAGGUCCUGGAUCCAAUGCCUCCCACCAUAAUACAAUGCUGUCUUAAACCAGAUCUUGCGGCUUUACAGACAUUUCGAUACGAAAAGCAGACGGUAUUCCCGAUAGAAAUGGCUUCAGUCUCAAGAACAACUACCAAUAAAAACGGCGUACAGAGGUGUUUUUGCUUUAAAUCUAAAUCGAGACUUUAUAAUCGAGCAACCAACGACAAAGUGGUAUUUAUAAACCGGCGAGGCAUUUUAAAUCACAGGAACCAGUAGCAACUGGGCGCUGGAAAUGGUUCAUUCUGCUUCCGUUCUUAUUUUGUUUUUUUUCCGCCUGCAAUUGCUUUGUUGAAUUAUAAUGUUUUUAGUUAUGGAAAAUUAAUUUUCAGUUGCAUUUUAUCGAACUGCUUAAUAUUUCUGUUAAAUGCUACAAGAAACUAUUUUAACCUCUAAAACAUUUGUCUGUAAUUUAAUAGCAAUAAAAAACAUUUCUAUUGACAGUAAUGCAUGACCUUAUUGCACCUAGCGCUGGCUUAACGCAACAUUUAUCUAAAUUACUUUACCCUCUGUGGCUCUAUAUGGUCGUUAUAGAAAUAUUGCUUUGCAAUUACUGCAGUAUAAAUUAUUUAAAAGGAAAUAAAGCGGUUACAUCUCACUGUUUAGCUAAAGAAUUAC
Long non-coding RNA from Pristis pectinata (smalltooth sawfish), 687 nucleotides. RefSeq lists it as uncharacterized. NCBI's taxonomy places the organism in Eukaryota, Metazoa, Chordata, Chondrichthyes, Rhinopristiformes, Pristidae. The transcript is spliced from 3 exons. The record is from RefSeq and is a predicted model, not a curated record.